GUUCAUAUUUUAAAGCCGAAAAGGACUUUUUUUACACCGUAGUGAGUUCUUGCCCACAAAUUGCUUUCUGUAACUUUUUUCAUUGAGUUGCACUUUUAAUUUGAACUUUAGGGGCUCUUUCUGCGUUUUAUUUGAUUGAUAAGCUAGGAAGAAGAAGACUACUCAUUGGAAGUUACUUAGGAAUGGCUUUGUCGAUGUAUCUUACAGCAUAUGCCAUCAGCUUCUCAGGUGAAGAUGUCAGUCGCAACUUAUUAAUCCUGGGUAUAUUAGGGUUAUGCACAUGGUUGUAAGUACAUAUCAGGAAGCUAGUGGUGCCGGUGCUGCUGCAAUGGAAGAGCUUGAGCUGCAAACUCGUGAGGUUUAUCGUAGUUCAUGUUUUAAAGUUUCUCAAGUAGUUUUCUUUCUGUAGAAUUUCUAUUAGAAAUGAAAGCAAUGUUGCUUUUGACCCAUGUAUUUAUCCGAUAUUGUAUUGUUCUUUAUGAAGAUUUUGGAAGGCAAGCCUCCAACUUAUGGAUGCUAAUACCAUUUCGUUGUAACUGUUGUAAUUUAAUUUUUUUUUUAAAAUAAAUGGACUAUU
Molecule: long non-coding RNA, 577 nt
Organism: Spinacia oleracea (spinach)
Lineage: Eukaryota; Viridiplantae; Streptophyta; Magnoliopsida; Caryophyllales; Amaranthaceae
Exons: 3
Source: RefSeq, a predicted model, not a curated record